AUUGAACGCUGGCGGCAGGCCUAACACAUGCAAGUCGAGCGGAUGAAGGGAGCUUGCUCCUGGAUUCAGCGGCGGACGGGUGAGUAAUGCCUAGGAAUCUGCCUGGUAGUGGGGGAUAACGUCCGGAAACGGGUGCUAAUACCGCAUCCGUCCUGAGGGAGAAAGUGGGGGACCUUCGGACCUCACGCUAUCAGAUGCGCCUAGGUCGGAUUAGCUAGUUGGUGGGGUAAAGGCCUACCAAGGCGACGAUCCGUAACUGGUCUGAGAGGAUGAUCAGUCACACGGGAACUGAGACACGGUCCAGACUCCUACGGGAGGCGGCGGAGGGGAAUAUUGGACAAUGGGCGAAGGCCUGAUCCAGCCAUGCCGCGUGUGUAAAGAAGGUCUUCGGAUUGUAAAGCACUUUGAGUUGGGAGAAAGGGCAGUAAGUUAAUACCUUGCUGUUUUGACGUUACCAACAGAAUAAGCACCGGCUAACUUCGUG
Molecule: ribosomal RNA, 484 nt
Filed under: uncultured bacterium
Lineage: Bacteria
Description: partial 16S ribosomal RNA
Rfam family: Bacterial small subunit ribosomal RNA
Source: RNAcentral